Molecule: ribosomal RNA, 512 nt
Filed under: uncultured bacterium
Lineage: Bacteria
Description: partial 16S ribosomal RNA
Rfam family: Bacterial small subunit ribosomal RNA
Source: RNAcentral
GAUGAACGCUGGCGGCAUGCCUAAUACAUGCAAGUCGAACGAGAGGAAGGAAAGCUUGCUUUUCUGAAUCUAGUGGCGAACGGGUGAGUAACACGUAGGUAACCUGCCCAUGUGCCCGGGAUAACUUCUGGAAACGGAUGCUAAAACCGGAUAGGUAGCAGACAAGCAUUUGACUGCUAUUAAAGUGGCUAAGGCCAUGCACAUGGAUGGACCUGCGGUGCAUUAGCUAGUUGGUGAGGUAACGGCCCACCAAGGCGACGAUGCAUAGCCGGCCUGAGAGGGCGGACGGCCACAUUGGGACUGAGACACGGCCCAAACUCCUACGGGGGGCAGCAGUAGGGAAUUUUCGUCAAUGGGGGGAACCCUGAACGAGCAAUGCCGCGUGAGUGAGGAAGGUCUUCGGAUCGUAAAGCUCUGUUGUAAGAGAAAAACGACAUUCAUAGGGAAUGAUGAGUGAGUGAUGGUAUCUUACCAGAAAGUCACGGCUAACUACGUGCCAGCCGCCGCGGUAA